AAUAGAUACCCCGGUAGUCCACGCCCUAAACGAUGUCUACUAGUUGUUGGUGGAGUAAAAUCCAUUAGUAACGCAGCUAACGCGUGAAGUAGACCGCCUGGGGAGUACGGUCGCAAGAUUAAAACUACAAAGGAAUUGACGGGGGCCCGGCACAAGCGGUGGAUUAUGUGGAUUAAUUCGAUGCAACGACGAAAAACCUUAACCUGGCCUUGACAUGCCACUAACGAAGACAGAGAUGCAUUAGGUGCCGGAAACGGGAAAGGUAGGACACAGGUGCUGCAUGGCGUGUCGUCAGCUCGUGUCGUGAGAUGUUGGGUUAAGUCCGCACGAGCGCACCUCGCAAUAAUUGCAUCAUCUAGUUGGUCUACUUAUUGG
This 375-nucleotide ribosomal RNA is filed under the name uncultured bacterium. Its description in RNAcentral is "bacterial SSU rRNA". It matches the Rfam family "Bacterial small subunit ribosomal RNA", at positions 777 to 1147 of the family's 1533-position model. The record is from RNAcentral.